This is a long non-coding RNA of Pteronotus mesoamericanus, 1105 nucleotides long. RefSeq lists it as uncharacterized. The record is from RefSeq and is a predicted model, not a curated record. The transcript has 8 exons. Lineage: Eukaryota; Metazoa; Chordata; Mammalia; Chiroptera; Mormoopidae.
AAGGAACUCUAGAUUUUUUUUUGAAAUGUAGAGUAAGCAGAAUGGACUUCUGAAUCUCAGGGCCCUGGGUUCCUAGCCUGGCUUGGCUCUUGACUAGAAAGCAGUUGACCUCUCUGGGCCUCUGCCUCCUUGGCCAUAAAAUGAGAUUGAGAACAUCAUGCUCACAGCUCUAUUAAUAUCAAAUGAGAUGAAGUAUCUGCACGGUGAUGCUUGAUAAAUGGCAGAAAUAUUGUUAAUAUAGUGAAGUCAACAUAACUUAAGGUCUGUGAUGGUCCACAUAGUAGAACCGUGGAGAUCAUCUUGAGUGUGCUAUCCCUAGUGUUAAUAUUCAUCCUGACUUUAAGAAUAAACUUGUAAAGUGCCCUCUUUUUUCUCAUUUUAGAAACUUCCUCAAUUUCUCCUAUAACACAAGGCAAAAAUGAUCCCAGGAGAACCGAGAACUGCAGAAUCUCAUUGAUAAAGACACUGAAAAAGAAGGAAGUAAAAUAACAUUUCUGAAGUUAUGCAUCUGCAUCAACCCAGAGCCAGGAAGAGGAUCCAAGGUGGGACACUGACAGGCCCUGCCUCCUUUGUCUUCAUCCAAAUGGCUACUGCUCUGAUUGUCCAUUAUUCGAUCAACAAUUAACCCCAGGGAACAGAAUCCAGAAUUUCCUAGCAAGGCAUUAUUAGCCUCCUUUCCUGCAGACAUUGUGGUGCAUCUUGGGAAAAGAAACUCAAAUUAGUUCCCAAAAGAAUGCACUGACUACAGAUGUUUCCCACUUGCAUGAUUGAGAAAACUGCUGCUGGACUCAGAGUGAUUUCACAAACAUCAGAGUGCAAACCUAAAAUUAUUUCUUUACUUCAAGAACUGGUGUCAGCUAUAAACUUAUCAGUUUGUGCGAGGCUGCACACAAAUACGUGGAGGGACCGAGGCUGAGGACAUGAGGAGUGGACAGCCUUCACUUCCAUCUGUCCUGAGUAGUGAAACCACAUUUCAAACUAGCUGAAUUCAAGGGGAGGAAAUUCUUGUAAGGACACAAGUACACCUUAUCAUUAGGGCUUGGACACAGAAACUGAAAAUUCAUCAGGAACAAAGCAGGCUGGAGUUGAUGGAAUUCCCACCAGG